CCUGGACCUAGAGGCAUGGCAGAUUGAAACAUUGUACUCCAGUAGAUGAGAGGUGCUUCCGAGAGGAGAGAGGCUAAGUCCAUACUCAGUGUUCUGACCUGUGAACAUCUGAAUGAUUAGUAGCCUAACAUU
RNAcentral lists this small nucleolar RNA (132 nucleotides) under Mus pahari (shrew mouse). Its description in RNAcentral is "snoRNA (MGP_PahariEiJ_G0034719.1)". The stretch from base 59 to 132 matches the Rfam family "Small nucleolar RNA SNORA17". From Rfam's summary of the family: snoRNA ACA 17 belongs to the H/ACA family of snoRNAs and is predicted to guide pseudouridylation of the 28S rRNA at positions U4659 and U4598. It shares the same host gene together with ACA43. Lineage: Eukaryota; Metazoa; Chordata; Mammalia; Rodentia; Muridae. The record is from RNAcentral.